GAAUUGGUCUGAACAACAACAACAAGAAAGACUUAUCAACUGUGUGUUGAUCCAGAGGAAAGAAGGCUGUGCACAACACACUUUGGCGAUUCAACUCUUAAUAUCCUGAUUGAUGGCAGAAUUGCUGGGUUAUGUGAAUCUAUCGUCUGAGGCUGCAGCGAUAUCCCUUGAAGGUACCUGAAACAAUACAAGAUCACCGGUGAAGUGCAGCCAAUGGAACGGAAGGAGAAUUCCUCACUACCUGCAGACUGUCAGAACAUAAUAUCUAAUAGUUAUCUAUGUGGGACUGAUACCAGCGUGGAAGAGCUGGUCACUUUUAAAGGACUUUGUGAAUGAUUACCUCUUCAAUAGGACGAUUGAAUAUUAUUGUCUUGCAGACAAGUGAAAGAUGUUUGAAAUAAUGUUCCCUGUGAGUUUCCUCCUAAUACAGGAUGUGGGUGGUGUGUCCAUUUCUAACACAGAGAUGCAUCAGCAGGAUGAGGGACACUCGGGCAUCAAUACGUUUCUAGCUCUCUUUCUACAUUAUGCCACAGUAGUCCCUCAAAGUAGUUGUUGGAUUUGUACAUAUGCUCCAUUCACAUCAAGGGCAGGUAUUCCAUUAAGGGAUAUUCCUUUAAAACCAGAGCGAAAUGUUGGGUAUAUGGAGAGAUGUUAAUUGGUAUAAGGAGAUUAUUGGUACUAAUUUGGGUGAGAACGUUGAGAAUCAACAUGCGAGAGUACCUAGUUCUGCAGUACCUUCCUUCAUUUGAGACCAAUGACACUAAUCAGCGACCACCUUACCUAGUUAUUACACAUGCCCUGUUGGGUGGUUAUGUUUUAAUAGGUCACUCUCUUGGAACUUGUCUCAACUGCACCAGGACGCGUUUGUCAAAAUAGGACAGAGUUAGUGUGAUCAGACUAUCUGCCUGUGACGGUACUAAGGUUGCGGAAUGUCUAAUGUCUGUUGAAAUGACUCAGUAAUUUCACUAGGAAUACUUUUGAUGCCAGUACCUUCGGUAAUAUAAUCAAUAAUGGUAUGAUAGCUCCAAAUGGGACUUAGUUUAUCUGUGGAUCAUAUGCCUAUUCCUGGUUACCAAAGUUGUGGCAAGGGUCGUGUUAGUAAGGGUCGUGUUAGUAAGGGUCGUGUUAUUUGGGAUAUGUUGUAUGUAAGACGUUCUGUGAAUUCUCCUUUUUUACACCAUCAUAAACAUGUGAUUACAGAAACGGAGAGAUUCUUUGCAAUUGCGUUUCCCUCUUAUGGUAUUUCUGAAAUAGCACAGGAAGUUAUUAAUAUGGCUAACUCUUUGGAAAUCCUAGCUAAUAGUACAGUUGAGAGUAUUGAGUUAAUUACUGCUGAGAUGGUUGCCAUUCGGACUGUGGCAAUGCAAAAUAGUUUGGCCCUUGAUUAUCUUCUGUCCGCAUAAGGAGGUACAUGUGCUGUUACUGGUGCUGAAUACUGUACUUACAUUCCUGAUAAAUCUGAGGAAAUAACUGACCUAAUCCAAAAGAUCAGGACUGAUGGCGCUAAAUAUCAUGAUUCCAAUCCAGAUGAUUUAGGCUUAGUCAUGUGGUUGUCUUCCACAUUCGGUACAUGGGGAUGUUUUUUGGUGAGCAUGAUACUUCCAAUAGUGGGAGUUAUGGUUCUUUUUCUCAUCCUCAUCCAGGUUAUCAAGUGUGCUAAAAAUCCAAUGGUUACGUGAUAGGGGAUAUCAUAAGAUUCAUCAACCGUGUCCUUUUGGAGAUGGGUGUCAGUGGUGUUCACCAGAUUGUGGAGUGGGAUACUUGUUAUUUGGCCAUUGGCCAAGUUGUCCUACAAGGACUUCUGAUUGGUCAACCCCAGGCUAGGGUGGGGGGUUAUAAAUGGCAUCCUGUUCCUUUGUUCCGUGGGGAAAAUCUGAGGACAGGGGAGACUGAACAUCUGACUCCCAACAUAACAUGUUGAAUGGUCCUCUCUGAAUAAACCACAUUUUCUCCCCCUGA
This is a non-coding RNA of Salmo salar (Atlantic salmon), 1959 nucleotides long. The record is from RefSeq and is a predicted model, not a curated record. NCBI's taxonomy places the organism in Eukaryota, Metazoa, Chordata, Actinopteri, Salmoniformes, Salmonidae.